Molecule: ribosomal RNA, 1344 nt
Filed under: metagenome
Description: bacterial LSU rRNA
Rfam family: Bacterial large subunit ribosomal RNA
Source: RNAcentral
UGAGUGCGAGCUGCUACGGCAGCGAAGUUGGUGAUGUCAUGCUUCCAAGAAAAGCCCUAUACCCGUUAAGGCAUCAUGGCCUGUACCCGAAACCGACACAGGUGGGGUGGUAGAGAAUACCGAGGGGCGCGAGGUAACUCUCUCUAAGGAACUCGGCAAAAUGGCCCCGUAACUUCGGGAGAAGGGGUGCCACCGCAAGGUGGUCGCAGUGAAGAGGCCCAGGCGACUGUUUACCAAAAACACAGGUCUCCGCUAAGUCGCAAGACGAUGUAUGGGGGCUGACGCCUGCCCAGUGCCGGAAGGUUAAGGAAGCUGGUCAGCGCAAGCGAAGCUAGCGACUGAAGCCCCGGUGAACGGCGGCCGUAACUAUAACGGUCCUAAGGUAGCGAAAUUCCUUGUCGGGUAAGUUCCGACCCGCACGAAAGGCGUAACGAUCUGGGCGCUGUCUCGGAGAGAGGCUCGGCGAAAUAGAAUUGUCUGUGAAGAUGCGGACUACGUGCACCCGGACAGAAAGACCCUAUGAAGCUUUACUGUAGCUUGGUAUUGUGCCCGGGCUCGCAAUGCGCAGGAUAGGUGGGAGGCUUUGAUCAUCGGCUUGCGGGUCGAUGUGAGCCAACGGUGAGAUACCACUCUUUGCGAGCUAGGGUUCUAACGGCCACCCGUCAUCCGGGGGCCGGACAGUACCUGGUGGGCAGUUUGACUGGGGCGGUCGCCUCCUAAAAGGUAACGGAGGCGCGCAAAGGUUUGCUCAGGCUGGUUGGAAAUCAGCCGACGAGUGUAAAAGCAGAAGCAAGCUUGACUGUGAGACCAACAAGUCGAACAGGGAGGAAACUCGGCUUUAGUGAUCCGACGGUUCUGAGUGGAAGGGCCGUCGCUCAACGGAUAAAAGUUACUCUAAGGAUAACAGGCUGAUCUCCCCCAAGAGUUCACAUCGACGGGGAGGUUUGACACCUCGAUGUCGGCUCAUCGCAACCUGGGGCUGAAGUCGGUCCCAAGGGUUGGGCUGUUCGCCCAUUAAAGCGGUACGCGAGCUGGGUUCAGAACGUCGUGAGACAGUUCGGUCCAUAUCCGGUGCACGCGCAGGAAUAUUGAGAGGAUUUCUCCCUAGUACGAGAGGACCGGGAGGAACGCACCUCUGGUGUACCAGUUAUCGUGCCAACGGUAAACGCUGGGUAGCCAUGUGCGGAGUGGAUAACCGCUGAAAGCAUCUAAGUGGGAAGCCCACCUCAAGAUGAGUAUUCCCAUGGCGUAAGCCAGUAAGGUCACGGGAAGAACACCCGUUGAUAGGCUCUAUGUGGAAGCGCAGUAAUGCGUGAAGCAGAGGAGUACUAAUAGACCGAGGGC